This 895-nucleotide ribosomal RNA is filed under the name uncultured bacterium. RNAcentral describes it as "bacterial SSU rRNA". It matches the Rfam family "Bacterial small subunit ribosomal RNA", at positions 1 to 894 of the family's 1533-position model. The record is from RNAcentral.
UAGAGUUUGAUCCUGGCUCAGGAUGAACGCUAGCUACAGGCUUAACACAUGCAAGUCGAGGGGCAGCGGGAUUGAAGCUUGCUUCAAUUGCCGGCGACCGGCGCACGGGUGAGUAACGCGUAUCCAACCUUCCGUACACUCAGGGAUAGCCUUUCGAAAGAAAGAUUAAUACCUGAUGGUAUGAUGAGAUUGCAUGAUAGCAUCAUUAAAGAUUUAUCGGUGUACGAUGGGGAUGCGUUCCAUUAGGUAGUAGGCGGGGUAACGGCCCACCUAGCCAACGAUGGAUAGGGGUUCUGAGAGGAAGGUCCCCCACAUUGGAACUGAGACACGGUCCAAACUCCUACGGGAGGCAGCAGUGAGGAAUAUUGGUCAAUGGGCGAGAGCCUGAACCAGCCAAGUAGCGUGAAGGAUGACUGCCCUAUGGGUUGUAAACUUCUUUUAUAAAGGAAUAGAGUCGGGUAUGCAUACCCGUUUGCAUGUACUUUAUGAAUAAGGAUCGGCUAACUCCGUGCCAGCAGCCGCGGUAAUACGGAGGAUCCGAGCGUUAUCCGGAUUUAUUGGGUUUAAAGGGAGCGUAGAUGGAUGUUUAAGUCAGUUGUGAAAGUUUGCGGCUCAACCGUAAAAUUGCAGUUGAUACUGGAUAUCUUGAGUGCAGUUGAGGCAGGCGGAAUUCGUGGUGUAGCGGUGAAAUGCUUAGAUAUCACGAAGAACUCCGAUUGCGAAGGCAGCCUGCUAAGCUGCAACUGACAUUGAGGCUCGAAAGUGUGGGUAUCAAACAGGAUUAGAUACCCUGGUAGUCCACACGGUAAACGAUGAAUACUCGCUGUUUGCGAUAUACGGCAAGCGGCCAAGCGAAAGCGUUAAGUAUUCCACCUGGGGAGUACGCCGGCAACGG